GAUGAACGCUGGCGGCGUGCUUAACACAUGCAAGUCGAACGAAGCACUUGAAACGGAUUCUUCGGAUGAAGUUUCCUGUGACUGAGUGGCGGACGGGUGAGUAACGCGUGGGUAACCUGCCUCAUACAGGGGGAUAACAGUUAGAAAUGGCUGCUAAUACCGCAUAAGCGCACGGCAUCGCAUGAUGCAGUGUGAAAAACUCCGGUGGUAUGAGAUGGACCCGCGUUGGAUUAGCUAGGUGGCAGGGUAACGGCCUACCAAGGCGAGGAUCCGUAGCCGGCCUGAGAGGGUGGACGGGCACAUUGGGACUGAGGCACGGACCAGAAUCCUACGGGAGGCAGCAGUGGGGAAUAUUGCACAAUGGGAUAAAACCUGAUGCAGCGACGCCGCGUGGGCGAAGAAGUAUUUCGGUAUGUAAAGCUCUAUCAGCAGGGAAGAAAAUGACGGUACCUGACUAAGAAGCCCCGGCUAACUACGUGCCAGCCGCCGCAGUAA
Molecule: ribosomal RNA, 495 nt
Filed under: uncultured bacterium
Lineage: Bacteria
Description: partial 16S ribosomal RNA
Rfam family: Bacterial small subunit ribosomal RNA
Source: RNAcentral